RNAcentral lists this ribosomal RNA (253 nucleotides) under uncultured bacterium. Its description in RNAcentral is "partial 16S ribosomal RNA". It matches the Rfam family "Bacterial small subunit ribosomal RNA", at positions 524 to 776 of the family's 1533-position model. The record is from RNAcentral.
UACGGAGGGUGCAAGCGUUAAUCGGAAUUACUGGGCGUAAAGCGCACGCAGGCGGUUUAUUAAGUCAGAUGUGAAAUCCCCGGGCUUAACCCGGGAAUUGCAUCUGAUACUGGUAAGCUAGAGUCUUGUAGAGGGGGGUAGAAUUCCAUGUGUAGCGGUGAAAUGCGUAGAUAUAUGGAGGAACACCAGUGGCGAAGGCGACUCCCUGGACUGUAACUGACGCUGAGGCUCGAAAGCGUGGGGAGCAAACAGG